UUAUCCAAAAACUUAAAAUCAGAUCUCCUAUUGUUGAAAAUUAGAAGCACGGUGAAAUCACGGAAGUGGAAGAAAUGGAACCCAAAAACUUAGAAAUUGGUUUAUCUCCUGGAACUUUCAACCGAGUUCAGAAUGAUCAAGAAUUUAUGCAAAGUUUAGCUGAUAAUGCGCUUCAAGCACAUAAUGCAGUUUAUGGUGAGGUAGUCAAAUAGUACAUACACAGGAAGCGUCAGAAGCAAGCAUCCAACCCGAGGAAGCAUCAGGAGCAAGCAUCCAACCUGAGGAGCAUACAGAUAGCCAGACGUUUUCUACUAUAGAUGGGGGGCUGGGUGAAGACGAAGACUUUGUACCGAUAGUGCAAGGCGAAAGGCAGGUGUGGCUCGAUGCUCCGACGAAACUGAUGU
This is a long non-coding RNA of Rhagoletis pomonella (apple maggot), 404 nucleotides long. RefSeq lists it as uncharacterized. The record is from RefSeq and is a predicted model, not a curated record. NCBI's taxonomy places the organism in Eukaryota, Metazoa, Arthropoda, Insecta, Diptera, Tephritidae. The transcript has 4 exons.